Molecule: non-coding RNA, 710 nt
Organism: Chiloscyllium plagiosum (whitespotted bambooshark)
Lineage: Eukaryota; Metazoa; Chordata; Chondrichthyes; Orectolobiformes; Hemiscylliidae
Source: RefSeq, a predicted model, not a curated record
UGUCUCCCAGGAAGAUUCCCUGCACCUAGUAAAAAUAAAAACACUGCUUCUGUCUUUCGGCAUGUUGCUAACAAUUUCCAUUUGAUUUGUUCCUUUAACCAGGCAGUAAGAAAACUCAAUGGUUUGAUCGUGAUGACCCAGUAGGAAAUGGUGAUUUUGAGGAUCUGGAGAACCUUCGGAAGGAAAAUCCUGGUCAGAUCUGCGAUAGCCCAAUUGCCUGUGAAGUACAGACAGUGUCAAACCAGUCAGCCUCAAGCACUGGGGAUGUUAUUCCUGAGUGCAGCACAUUGACUGGGUUUACUUGCGUGAAUAAAGAACAAAAGUUUAAGCUCUGUGAAGAUUACAAAAUACGAUUUACCUGCCCUUAAUCUUUUUGGACAAGUGAGCAGGAAAGCAGUCACAGGACCUGCCUCUGGAGCCAGCCAGGCCUGCUUCAGGCUCAAUAUUUGAUGGAGUUGCUGUACAUAAACAUUAGUCUGAUGGAUUUGGAGACAAAUAAAAAGCAGUUACAGAGAGAAAGUCACAUCAUAUAGACUUGGAGUUACUGACUAAUCACAUUGAACUAUACUACCUGCAUAACUGUAUAGAAAUUGAAUUUAUAUAUCAUUUUGAGAAAUGUUGGAAAUUGGUAAUUAUUAGGGAGCAGAACUCUUGGAGCUGUAUGCAUUUAGUUAUAGUAAUUAACAAAUAGGUUGCAUGUGAGGGAAAAG